GGAGCUGUAGCUCAGUAGUAGAGCAUCUGCCUUUCAUACAGAAGGUCCCAGGUUCAAUCCCUGGCAUCUCCA
This is a non-coding RNA of Rhineura floridana, 72 nucleotides long. NCBI's taxonomy places the organism in Eukaryota, Metazoa, Chordata, Lepidosauria, Squamata, Rhineuridae. The record is from the annotation of a RefSeq genome assembly.